GGGCUAUCACUACACACAACAAAUGCAUCUAAAAUCUUCCUCAACCCUGAAAUUCCAGAGGCAGACCAAAUUAUUGAGAGGUAUUGUGAAAGAGAUGUUAUUCCAACUAUGAUUGGAAUCGAUGAAAGCACCCAAGGAACAAUUGAAGAGCAAAUGUUGUACAACAGAAAAACAUUGAGGGAAAUUAUAGAAUUGCGAUAUGCUGAUGUCCAAAGAAAGGAAUUUGUAUGCACAACAAAAGCAACAAUUGAUGAUAUUAUAACAGAUAAAGGCUGGUGGUACAUGGCAUGCAAACUUUGCUUUGUGCUACAAAAAAGGAACAUGAUAACUACAUUUGCACUUCCUGUCAUGAAGUAGCUCAAAAUCCAGACAAGCGGUGAGCAUGUUGUGCACUAGAUUGUCUUUGGUUCCAUUUGUUUUAAUAAUAUACCACUAAUAACUUGACAACAUCAUAUUAGGUACCUACUUAAACUGAAGGUACGCGAUG
Long non-coding RNA from Triticum aestivum (bread wheat), 487 nucleotides. RefSeq lists it as uncharacterized. NCBI's taxonomy places the organism in Eukaryota, Viridiplantae, Streptophyta, Magnoliopsida, Poales, Poaceae. The record is from RefSeq and is a predicted model, not a curated record. The transcript has 3 exons.